UUAAUUGAAGCCAAAAUUUAGAGGCAAAUUAUUGUUAAUAAUUUUAAUGAAUUUAAUUUCCAAUUAAU
RNAcentral lists this transfer RNA (68 nucleotides) under Nomada goodeniana. Its description in RNAcentral is "tRNA-Asn". Lineage: Eukaryota; Metazoa; Arthropoda; Insecta; Hymenoptera; Apidae. The record is from RNAcentral.